Molecule: ribosomal RNA, 504 nt
Filed under: uncultured fungus
Lineage: Eukaryota; Fungi
Description: SSU rRNA
Rfam family: Eukaryotic small subunit ribosomal RNA
Source: RNAcentral
AGCAGCCGCGGUAAUUCCAGCUCCAAUAGCGUAUAUUAAAGUUGUUGCAGUUAAAAAGCUCGUAGUUGAACUUCAGACCUGACCGGGCGGUCCGCCUAACGGUGUGUACUGUCUGGCCGGGCCUUACCUCUUGGUGAGCCGGCAUGCCCUUCACUGGGUGUGUCGGGGAACCAGGACCUUUACCUUGAGAAAAUUAGAGUGUUCAAAGCAGGCUUACGCCGGAAUACAUUAGCAUGGAAUAAUAAAAUAGGACGUGCGGUUCUAUUUUGUUGGUUUCUAGAGUCGCCGUAAUGAUUAAUAGGGAUAGUUGGGGGCAUUUGUAUUGCGUUGCUAGAGGUGAAAUUCUUGGAUUUACGCAAGACAAACUAUUGCGAAAGCAUUUGCCAAGGAUGUUUUCAUUAAUCAAGAACGAAGGUUAGGGGAUCGAAAACGAUCAGAUACCGUUGUAGUCUUAACAGNAAACUAUGCCGACUAGGGAUCGGACGACCUCAAUAUUAAANGGCG